RNAcentral lists this ribosomal RNA (433 nucleotides) under uncultured archaeon. RNAcentral describes it as "bacterial SSU rRNA". It matches the Rfam family "Archaeal small subunit ribosomal RNA", at positions 474 to 903 of the family's 1478-position model. The record is from RNAcentral.
UACCAGCUCUCCGAGUGGUGUGGAUGUUUAUUGGGCCUAAAGCAUCCGUAGCUGGCUGGACAAGUCCCCUGUUAAAUCCACCGAUUUAAUCGUUGGAGUGCGGGGGAUACUGUUCGGCUAGGGGACGGGAGAGGCAGACGGUAUUUUCGGGGUAGGGGUGAAAUCCUAUAAUCCCGGGAAGACCACCAGUGGCGAAGGCUGUCUGCUAGAACGCGCCCGACGGUGAGGGAUGAAAGCUGGGGGAGCGAACCGGAUUAGAUACCCGGGUAGUCCCAGCUGUAAACGAUGCAGGCUAGGUGUUUGGGCGGCCACGUGCCGCUCUAGUGCCGCAGGGAAGCCGUUAAGCCUGCCGCCUGGGGAGUACGGGCCGCAAGGCUAGAAACUUAAAGGAAUUGGGCGGGGGAGCACCACGAAGGGGUGAAGCUUGCGGUUU